This 391-nucleotide long non-coding RNA is filed under the name Fukomys damarensis (Damara mole-rat). RNAcentral's name for it is "lncRNA (ENSFDAG00000033212.1)". The record is from RNAcentral. Lineage: Eukaryota; Metazoa; Chordata; Mammalia; Rodentia; Bathyergidae.
AUUUCGCUUUCUGUUGCAUCCUGGGGUGCUCAGAGCCACACCUGACGACUGUCAGUACAGGCAAGGCAUUUGGUGAAUAAAUGCAUGGACAGCAAAGCCCUCCAUCCCGGACCUGAUCUGCAAGCAGGUAUUUUGUAUAAUUCAGGCCAUCAGAAUUUGCAGCUCCUCAUCUGUGUAAAUCAGGCUUUCAAGAUUCUGUACAACCACAACUAAUGAAAAUUAUCAGGUUGUUUUGAUAAAUAUAAAAAGUGUGAAGUCAGAGGUUAUGGGUGACAAUUGCAGUUUUGAAUCAAACUGAACAUUCAAUUUAUUUAAUCAAAACAGCCUUGUUCUUAUUGAUUGAAUUCAUAAUAGAUAAGGGUUAUAAUCUGUAUUUAUAAAAUAAAUCAAC